UGGCUCAGAUUGAACGCUGGCGGCAUGCCUUACACAUGCAAGUCGAACGGCAGCACGGGUGCUUGCACCUGGUGGCGAGUGGCGAACGGGUGAGUAAUACAUCGGAACGUACCUUAUCGUGGGGGAUAACGCAGCGAAAGCUGUGCUAAUACCGCAUACGCCCUGAGGGGGAAAGCGGGGGAUCGAAAGACCUCGCGCGAUUAGAGCGGCCGAUGCCUGAUUAGCUUGUUGGUGGGGUAAAAGCCCACCAAGGCGACGAUCAGUAGCUGGUCUGAGAGGACGAUCAGCCACACUGGGACUGAGACACGGCCCAGACUCCUACGGGAGGCAGCAGUGGGGAAUUUUGGACAAUGGGGGCAACCCUGAUCCAGCAAUGCCGCGUGAGUGAAGAAGGCCUUCGGGUUGUAAAGCUCUUUUGUCAGGGAAGAAACACCGGCUCUAACACAGUCCGGGAAUGACGGUACC
RNAcentral lists this ribosomal RNA (465 nucleotides) under Polynucleobacter sp. Fw70-23. RNAcentral describes it as "bacterial SSU rRNA". It matches the Rfam family "Bacterial small subunit ribosomal RNA", at positions 20 to 479 of the family's 1533-position model. The record is from RNAcentral. Lineage: Bacteria; Pseudomonadati; Pseudomonadota; Betaproteobacteria; Burkholderiales; Burkholderiaceae.